GAAAUAAAACCUCCUUUAAACACAAAGGCUUGGUCCCGACCUUAAAAUCAAUUUUUACUUAACUUACACAUGCAAGUCUCCACACCCCAGUGAAAACGCCCUAAACUCCUUAAUUAAGGAAAAGGAGCUGGUAUCAGGCACAACAAUUUGCCCAAAACACCUAGCAACGCCACGCCCACAAGGGUCUUCAGCAGUGAUAAACAUUGAAUAUAAGUGCAAACUUGAUUCAGUCAAGGUAAAUAGAGUAGGCAAAUAUGGUGCCAGCCGCCGCGGUUACACCACAAGACUCAAAUUGAUUUUAUUCGGCGUAAAACGUGAUUUAAGCCACAAACCCAUUAGAAUUAAACCAUCAUUGAGCUGUGACAAGCUUAUAACAGGAAAAAUCAAAUACGAAAGUUACUCUAAUUAACCAACUUGAAUACACGAAAAUUUGGACACAAACUAGGAUUAGAUACCCUACUAUGCCACAUAGUAAACUUUAAUUACAUCACAAUCGCCAGGGAAUUACGAGCAAAGCUUAAAACCCAAAGGACUUGACGGUACCCUAUAUCCUUCUAGAGGAGCCUGUCCCAUAACCGAUACCCCCCGCUUAACCUUACCACUUUUAGCCAAUCAGCCUGUAUACUUCCGUCGUCAACUUACCGCGUGAGCGACUAUAGUGAGUUUAAUGUUUAUACACCAAUACGUCAGGUCAAAGUGCAGCAAAUGAAGUGGAGAGAGAUGGGCUACACUUUCUAAUGUAGAAUAUACGAAAGACUACGUGAAAUCUUUAUCAGAAGGUGGAUUUAGUAGUAAAAAGAAAAUAGAAUGUUCUUUUUAAUCUGGCACUGGGGCAUGUACACACCGCCCGUCACCCUCUUCACAAGGCAAAUUUUAGUAAAUAACAAUUACCCCCUCAAUAGAAGAGGUAAGUCGUAACAAGGUAAGUGUACCGGAAGGUGUACUUGGAAACGCUACAU
Molecule: non-coding RNA, 959 nt
Filed under: Oreobates lehri
Lineage: Eukaryota; Metazoa; Chordata; Amphibia; Anura; Strabomantidae
Description: partial 12S ribosomal RNA
Rfam family: Bacterial small subunit ribosomal RNA
Source: RNAcentral